GAUGAACGCUGGCGGCGUGCUUAACACAUGCAAGUCGAACGGAAAGGCCCAAGCUUGCUUGGGUACUCGAGUGGCGAACGGGUGAGUAACACGUGGGUGAUCUGCCCUGCACUUCGGGAUAAGCCUGGGAAACUGGGUCUAAUACCGGAUAGGACCACAUUUUGGAUGGUGUGGUGGAAAGUUUUUCGGUGUGGGAUGAGAUCGCGGCCUAUCAGCUUGUUGGUGGGGUAAUGGCCUACCAAGGCGUCGGCGGGGAGCCGGCCCGGGGGGGUGUACCGCCCCAUUGGGACUUGGGUACGGCCCAGGCUCCCACGGGAGGGCGCAGGUGGGAAUAUUGCAAAAUGGGCGCGAGCCUGAUGCAGGGAAGCCGCGUGGGGGAUGACGGCCUUCGGGUUGUAAACUCCUUUCGCUAGGGACGAAGCGUUUUUGUGACGGUACCGGGAGAAGAAGCACCGGCUAACUACGG
This 466-nucleotide ribosomal RNA is filed under the name uncultured bacterium. RNAcentral describes it as "partial 16S ribosomal RNA". It matches the Rfam family "Bacterial small subunit ribosomal RNA", at positions 28 to 506 of the family's 1533-position model. The record is from RNAcentral.